CACGUAGGCGGUAUUGCAAGUCCCAUGUGAAAGCCCACGGCUUAACCGUGGAAGUGCAUGGGAAACUGCAGUACUUGAGUACUUAAGAGGAUCGCGGAAUUCCCGGUGUAGAGGUGAAAUUCGUAGAUAUCGGGAGGAACACCAGUGGCGAAGGCGGCGAUCUGGGAAGAUACUGACGCUGAGGUGCGAAAGCGUGGGGAGCAAACA
Molecule: ribosomal RNA, 207 nt
Filed under: uncultured bacterium
Lineage: Bacteria
Description: partial 16S ribosomal RNA
Rfam family: Bacterial small subunit ribosomal RNA
Source: RNAcentral